Molecule: ribosomal RNA, 253 nt
Filed under: uncultured bacterium
Lineage: Bacteria
Description: partial 16S ribosomal RNA
Rfam family: Bacterial small subunit ribosomal RNA
Source: RNAcentral
UACGUAGGGGGCUAGCGUUGUCCGGAAUCAUUGGGCGUAAAGCGCGUGUAGGCGGUCCGGUAAGUCCGCUGUGAAAGUCGGGGGCUCAACCCUCGGAUGCCGGUGGAUACUGUCGGGCUUGAGUACGGAAGAGGCGAGUGGAAUUCCUGGUGUAGCGGUGAAAUGCGCAGAUAUCGGGAGGAACACCAAUGGCGAAGGCAGCUCGCUGGGACGUUACUGACGCUGAGACGCGAAAGCGUGGGGAGCAAACAGG